GACGAACGCUGGCGGCGUGCUUAACACAUGCAAGUCGAGCGGAAAGGCCACUUCGGUGGUACUCGAGCGGCGAACGGGUGAGUAACACGUGAGUAAUCUGCCCCUGGCUUUGGGAUAGCCACCGGAAACGGUGAUUAAUACCGGAUACGACCACUUCUCGCAUGGGAUGGUGGUGGAAAGUUUUUUCGGCCAGGGAUGUGCUCGCGGCCUAUCAGCUUGAUGGUGAGGUAAUGGCUCACCAUGGCUUCGACGGGUAGCCGGCCUGAGAGGGUGGCCGGUCACACUGGGACUUAGACACGGCCCAGACUCCUACGGGAGGCAGCAGUGGGGAAUAUUGGACAAUGGGCGGAAGCCUGAUCCAGCAACGCCGCGCGAGGGAUGACGGCCUUCGGGUUGUAAACCUCUUUCAGCAGGGACGAAGCGCAAGUGACGGUACCUGCAGAAGAAGCACCAGCCAACUACGUGCCAGCCGCCGCCGUAA
RNAcentral lists this ribosomal RNA (481 nucleotides) under uncultured bacterium. RNAcentral's name for it is "partial 16S ribosomal RNA". It matches the Rfam family "Bacterial small subunit ribosomal RNA", at positions 28 to 523 of the family's 1533-position model. The record is from RNAcentral.